This 67-nucleotide transfer RNA is filed under the name Labidura japonica. RNAcentral's name for it is "tRNA-Trp". The record is from RNAcentral. Lineage: Eukaryota; Metazoa; Arthropoda; Insecta; Dermaptera; Labiduridae.
AAGAUUUUAAGUUAAAUAAAACUAUAGACCUUCAAAGUCUAAAAUAUAGAUGUAACUAUAGGUCUUA